Long non-coding RNA from Oncorhynchus tshawytscha (Chinook salmon), 859 nucleotides. Lineage: Eukaryota; Metazoa; Chordata; Actinopteri; Salmoniformes; Salmonidae. The record is from Ensembl.
UUCACUUCUGCAACUGGCCAAAGAGUCACUCACCUUUUGGAACAAUAUAAAACUGUAUCGACUGUGAAACAGGCAUACGCACCACUCUAAACUUAGAAGCAGGACAUGUGGUGAGGGAGCCUGUCUCAGUCACUCGGCUGGAUUGUUGGAAAAGUUGAUUUGAAAGUAUACUUAUCUAUGUGAAGGAACAUGAACAUGGACCCUUGAACUCAAGAAAUGACAACACCCCCCCGGCACAAUCUAGUAACAUUUUUUUAGUUUUUAUCUGUUUUGUUUGGUUUUCCAUCUCUGUCUUUGAUGGAAAACAACUAAUUAUGUGGCAUUUUUCAUUCAGAUGACACUUAGCAACGCGGUCCAUGUCCAAUUCUAUCUCACUACUGUAAAGCCUGCUUGUCUCUUGAAGAGUGAUAUUUAAAUUCUACCUUGACACACCUUUCUCCUGCCUCCACAUAUCUCUCAUUUCUGUGGAAGAUCGGGACGUUUGACGUCAGCACUUACCACACAAUAUUCCACUGCAAUCUAGUGCUAAUUAAAUUGCUAUAGCCUCCUUGCAAGACCAAGGUGUGUUCAUUUUUGUCUGAUUCAUAGUUAAGAUUUGUUGUAUUUUAUGUUAUUUAAACUCUUGUUUGACAUGUAGCCGUCAUUUCUAAGCUGCACUUUAUUGAUAAAUAUCAAGAUCAUUUCAAACUGUAAUUUAAGCAUAUCUUUGAGUUAUGUAUAUUUUUUUUAUCUUUAGGAGUAUAUAUAUUCUGUUUUAAUUUUAAACUGGAAAAGUAUAUUGUUUUUGUUUACAAGCCUCAUCUGUCUAUCAUUCCGAAAUGGACAAAUCUAGAAUCUGAUAGCAUUUAAGGACAAGGCA